Molecule: transfer RNA, 88 nt
Filed under: Ilumatobacteraceae bacterium
Lineage: Bacteria; Bacillati; Actinomycetota; Acidimicrobiia; Acidimicrobiales; Ilumatobacteraceae
Also listed under: 1 other name
Description: tRNA-Leu
Rfam family: tRNA
About the family: Transfer RNA (tRNA) molecules are approximately 80 nucleotides in length. Their secondary structure includes four short double-helical elements and three loops (D, anti-codon, and T loops).
Source: RNAcentral
GUCGGAGUGGCGGAAUUGGCAGACGCGCUAGCUUGAGGUGCUAGUGCCCUACUUAAUGGGCGUGGGGGUUCAAGUCCCCCCUCCGACA